GAACUCCUGCCACGGCAAACCCUAGCGAGGAGUCAUUAUCCAGCCUUGGGCGUGUUGUCGUGAGGCAACACGUUAAGCGUAGGCAGGAAAGACGUAGAGCUCUAAAGCGUAAGCCUGAAUCAAUUUAGCGUCGUUAAUACUGACAAGACGGUGGGUGAUACCCUCAUCGUGGUCGCAACCAGCACAAACUAUCUAGCAAAUUGGGUAUGGGGCAUUAAUUAUGAAACGCUUGCAGCGGAGCAUAGGAGAC
This 250-nucleotide non-coding RNA is filed under the name Pseudoselenomonas ruminantium. Lineage: Bacteria; Bacillati; Bacillota; Negativicutes; Selenomonadales; Selenomonadaceae. The record is from RNAcentral.